RNAcentral lists this long non-coding RNA (478 nucleotides) under Gallus gallus (chicken). RNAcentral's name for it is "long non-coding RNA NONGGAT008956". Lineage: Eukaryota; Metazoa; Chordata; Aves; Galliformes; Phasianidae. The record is from RNAcentral.
CGACACCAGUUCAUCAGUCAGAUGCUGCCUGGGGCUCAACAGUCCAUCUUUCUGGAAGAAUGAAUGAGUAUAGCUGAGCACGUACCCCCACAGAUAAACACAUGUAUUAUGUGCAGUACCAGCAUCGUUCUGGUACCUUCUGAAAGAUGGACUUCUGGAACUCCUCCCUCCCAAUCCUCCUAAAAACACGGGAUCCCUCGCUAGCUCACGGUGUCCCUGUGCUGGAGCUGGGCUUCUCCAGGAACACUGAGUCACAAGAGACAACAGUCAGCAUGUGGGGAAAGGGUGCCAGGAGCAGAGCAGCCAAGGGCAGGUGCCACACGCUGAUUGGUAAAGCACGACAGAAGUGUCUGCCUGCACGAAGCUGAACUGCACACACAAAGGAUUUCAAGGAGAACAGUGAGACGGGAUGCUGUCUUAUCUGCUCAACAGUACCAUCAGAGCUCUCCCAUUCCCGGAGUCUUCAUUCAUUUACCCC